Molecule: ribosomal RNA, 324 nt
Filed under: Glissomonadida sp.
Lineage: Eukaryota; Cercozoa; Glissomonadida
Description: SSU rRNA
Rfam family: Eukaryotic small subunit ribosomal RNA (bases 108-324)
Source: RNAcentral
GAUUUCUGGCCUGGUGCGCCUGGCCCGCCAGCGUUUGCUGUGUGAGUGUCGGGUCGUGCCUGCCAUCCUUCUGUGUGCCCGAUCUACUCUUCAUUGAGGUCGGAUCGAGUGGACAGAUCGUUUACUUUGAAAAAAUUAGAGUGUUUCAAGCAGGCUGACCGCUAUGAAUACAUUAGCAUGGAAUAAUAAUUUAGGACUUCGGUUCUAUUUUGUUGGUUUCUAGGACGGAAGUAAUGAUUGAUAGGGAUAGUUGGGGGUGCUAGUAUUCAGCGGCCAGAGGUGAAAUUCUCGGAUUCGCUGAAGACUAACUUAUGCGAAAGCAUU